RNAcentral lists this ribosomal RNA (497 nucleotides) under uncultured bacterium. RNAcentral's name for it is "partial 16S ribosomal RNA". It matches the Rfam family "Bacterial small subunit ribosomal RNA", at positions 28 to 507 of the family's 1533-position model. The record is from RNAcentral.
GAUGAACGCUGGCGGCGUGCCUAAUACAUGCCAGUCGAGCGAACGGACGAGAAGCUUGCUUCUCUGAUGUUAGCGGCGGACGGGUGAGUAACACGUGGCUAACCUACCUAUAAGACUGGGAUAACUUCGGGAAACCGGCGCUAAUACCGGAUGAUAUUUUGAACCGCAUGGUUCAAAAGUGAAAGACGCUCUUGCUGUCACUUAUAGAUGGAUCCGCGCUGCAUUAGCUAGUUGGUAAGGUAACGGCUUACCAAGGCAACGAUGCAUAGCCGACCUGAGAGGGUGAUCAGACACACGAGAACUGAGACACGGUCCAGGCCCCUACGAGAGGCAACGGUAGGGAAUCUUCCACAAUGGGAUCAAGCCUAACGGGACAACGCCGCGUGAGUGAUGAAGGUCUUCGGAUCGUAAAACUCUGUUAUUAGGGAAGAACAUAUGUGUAAGUAACUGUGCACAACUUGACGGUACCUAAUCAGAAAGCCACGGCUAACUACGUG